Molecule: ribosomal RNA, 849 nt
Filed under: Bacillus subtilis
Lineage: Bacteria; Bacillati; Bacillota; Bacilli; Caryophanales; Bacillaceae
Description: bacterial SSU rRNA
Rfam family: Bacterial small subunit ribosomal RNA
Source: RNAcentral
UACCACUUACAGAUGGACCCGCGGCGCAUUAGCUAGUUGGUGAGGUAACGGCUCACCAAGGCAACGAUGCGUAGCCGACCUGAGAGGGUGAUCGGCCACACUGGGACUGAGACACGGCCCAGACUCGUACGGGAGGCAGCAGUAGGGAAUCUUCCGCAAUGGACGAAAGUCUGACGGAGCAACGCCGCGUGAGUGAUGAAGGUAUUCGGAUCGUAAAGCUCUGUUGUUAGGGAAGAACAAGUACCGUUCGAAUAGGGCGGUACCUUGACGGUACCUAACCAGAAAGCCACGGCUAACUACGUGCCAGCAGCCGCGGUAAUACGUAGGUGGCAAGCGUUGUCCGGAAUUAUUGGGCGUAAAGGGCUCGCAGGCGGUUUCUUAAGUCUGAUGUGAAAGCCCCCGGCUCAACCGGGGAGGGUCAUUGGAAACUGGGGAACUUGAGUGCAGAAGAGGAGAGUGGAAUUCCACGUGUAGCGGUGAAAUGCGUAGAGAUGUGGAGGAACACCAGUGGCGAAGGCGACUCUCUGGUCUGUAACUGACGCUGAGGAGCGAAAGCGUGGGGAGCGAACAGGAUUAGAUACCCUGGUAGUCCACGCCGUAAACGAUGAGUGCUAAGUGUUAGGGGGUUUCCGCCCCUUAGUGCUGCAGCUAACGCAUUAAGCACUCCGCCUGGGGAGUACGGUCGCAAGACUGAAACUCAAAGGAAUUGACGGGGGCCCGCACAAGCGGUGGAGCAUGUGGUUUAAUUCGAAGCAACGCGAAGAACCUUACCAGGUCUUGACAUCCUCUGACAAUCCUAGAGAUAGGACGUCCCCUUCGGGGGCAGAGUGACAGGUGGUGCAUGGUGUC